Long non-coding RNA from Drosophila ananassae, 990 nucleotides. RefSeq lists it as uncharacterized. The record is from RefSeq and is a predicted model, not a curated record. The transcript is spliced from 3 exons. NCBI's taxonomy places the organism in Eukaryota, Metazoa, Arthropoda, Insecta, Diptera, Drosophilidae.
ACACCAGCCAUCGAGCCAUCCAUCCAUCCAUCCAGCCUCUCAAUGGAUACACACACUCGCUCGGUAUGGCAGUCGGUAUGGCACGUAUGCCUAAGAUACAAAUGUACCUACAUAUCUACAAAAUAUAUCUUUGUAAGCGUAUAUAGACGGAAAUGCUCCGUGGCUCUGUGCCAGCUCCAGUUCCAGUGUGUGUUUGCAGACAAAGGCCAACAAGUUGCCAUGGGAGUUGCCACCAAAAAAAAAGAAAUCUUUCGUUUGCACUCGAGCAACAAGGAGCUCAACAAGGAAUAGCCAUAAAAAUCAACAAGAGUAACGAGAAAAAAUGUGUAGAUUGGUGAUAAAUGAAUCAGAAUCUAAGGAACACCCCUCAAGGACCAGAUAAGGACUGGCCAAGAUAUAGCCCUCGCAAGGAGCCGUACUUCCGUUCGAGGUGAUUAGUUGGUAAGAAUGACGUCGAAGGUCUAUUAAGUGAUUGUGGAUGUCGAGAGCCGGAGCCUAGGGGUCUGGGCCCCGGUUAGAGAGACGGUUAACCCGAUACAGAUACGGAUACACAGAUACGGCUGCUGCUGCGUUACAGAUGCAGAUACAGAUACGGAUGUAUAGAUUGUAUAUGUAUAUGUAUAUGUAUAUGUAUAUGUAUAUGUAUAUGUAUAUGUAUAUGUAUAUGUAUAUAUGAUGACAAUGCCCUCCUGGAACGUUUGCCGCCACCGCUUGUCACUCAAAAUGGGAAAAACCUGGCAAAACCGGGAAAGGGAAGGGAAGUGAAGAGAAAAAUGGGAAAAUAGGGAGGGAAAAACAAGGGAUACAGCCACCAAAACCUCAUCAUAAUCAUCAUCAUCAUCAUCAUCCUCGUCACGUCACCGGAAAAACAAUGAAGUAAAAAUCAAGAAAAAGUCAUUGGGAAAAAAAAAAGAAAAUGUUCUUGUUUUUUUCUUUUUAAAUCUGAGUAGCACCUGGACCUUAAACCUCAACUAAAAUAAUAAUAUAAUA